This 434-nucleotide ribosomal RNA is filed under the name uncultured Lachnospiraceae bacterium. RNAcentral's name for it is "bacterial SSU rRNA". It matches the Rfam family "Bacterial small subunit ribosomal RNA", at positions 341 to 792 of the family's 1533-position model. Lineage: Bacteria; Bacillati; Bacillota; Clostridia; Lachnospirales; Lachnospiraceae. The record is from RNAcentral. RNAcentral also lists the same sequence under 2 other names.
ACGGGAGGCAGCAGUGGGGAAUAUUGCACAAUGGGGGAAACCCUGAUGCAGCGACGCCGCGUGAGUGAAGAAGUAUUUCGGUAUGUAAAGCUCUAUCAGCAGGGAAGAAAAUGACGGUACCUGACUAAGAAGCCCCGGCUAACUACGUGCCAGCAGCCGCGGUAAUACGUAGGGGGCAAGCGUUAUCCGGAUUUACUGGGUGUAAAGGGAGCGCAGACGGCGAUGUAAGUCUGAAGUGAAAGCCCGCGGCUCAACUGCGGGACUGCUUUGGAAACUAUAUUGCUUGAGUGUCGGAGGGGCAAGCGGAAUUCCAUGUGUAGCGGUGAAAUGCGUAGAUAUAUGGAAGAACACCGGUGGCGAAGGCGGCUUGCUGGACGAUAACUGACGUUGAGGCUCGAAGGCGUGGGGAGCAAACAGGAUUAGAUACCCUGGUA